Molecule: transfer RNA, 84 nt
Filed under: Synura uvella
Lineage: Eukaryota; Synurophyceae; Synurales; Mallomonadaceae
Description: tRNA-Met
Rfam family: tRNA
About the family: Transfer RNA (tRNA) molecules are approximately 80 nucleotides in length.
Source: RNAcentral
GCACCUGUGGCCGAGUGGUUGAAGGCACUGGACUCAUAAUCCAUUUUCGUAAGAUCUUCACUGGUUCGAAUCCAGUCAGGUGUA